GAUGAACGCUGGCGGCGUGCCUAAUACAUGCAAGUCGAGCGAACAGACGAGGAGCUUGCUCCUCUGACGUUAGCGGCGGACGGGUGAGUAACACGUGGAUAACCUACCUAUAAGACUGGGAUAACUUCGGGAAACCGGAGCUAAUACCGGAUAAUAUAUUGAACCGCAUGGUUCAAUAGUGAAAGACGGUUUUGCUGUCACUUAUAGAUGGAUCCGCGCCGCAUUAGCUAGUUGGUAAGGUAACGGCUUACCAAGGCAACGAUGCGUAGCCGACCUGAGAGGGUGAUCGGCCACACUGGAACUGAGACACGGUCCAGACUCCUACGGGAGGCAGCAGUAGGGAAUCUUCCGCGAUGGGCGAAAGCUUGACGGAGCAAAGCCGCGUGAGUGAUGAAGGUCUUCGGAUCGUAAAACUCUGUUAUUAGGGAAGAACAAAUGUGUAAGUAACUAUGCACGUCUUGACGGUACCUAAUCAGAAAGCCACGGCUAACUACGUG
Molecule: ribosomal RNA, 497 nt
Filed under: uncultured bacterium
Lineage: Bacteria
Description: partial 16S ribosomal RNA
Rfam family: Bacterial small subunit ribosomal RNA
Source: RNAcentral